UACGUAGGGGGCAAGCGUUGUCCGGAAUCAUUGGGCGUAAAGCGCGUGUAGGUGGUCACGCAAGUCAGGUGUGAAAGCCCUGGGCUCAACCCAGGAAGUGCACAUGAUACUACGUGGCUGGAGUACUGAAGAGGAGAGCGGAAUUCCCGGUGUAGAGGUGAAAUUCGUAGAUAUCGGGAGGAACACCAGUGGCGAAGGCGGCUCUCUGGGCAGAUACUGACACUGAGACGCGAAAGCGUGGGUAGCAAACAGG
Molecule: ribosomal RNA, 253 nt
Filed under: uncultured bacterium
Lineage: Bacteria
Description: partial 16S ribosomal RNA
Rfam family: Bacterial small subunit ribosomal RNA
Source: RNAcentral